UGGGGAAUUUUGGACAAUGGGCGAAAGCCUGAUCCAGCAAUGCCGCGUGCAGGAUGAAGGCCUUCGGGUUGUAAACUGCUUUUGUACGGAACGAAAAAGCUUCUCCUAAUACGAGAGGCCCAUGACGGUACCGUAAGAAUAAGCACCGGCUAACUACGUGCCAGCAGCCGCGGUAAUACGUAGGGUGCGAGCGUUAAUCGGAAUUACUGGGCGUAAAGCGUGCGCAGGCGGUUAUGUAAGACAGAUGUGAAAUCCCCGGGCUCAACCUGGGAACUGCAUUUUGUGACUGCAUGGCUAGAGUACGGGUAGAGGGGGAUGGAAUUCCGCGUNUAGCAGUGAAAAUGCGUAGAUAUGCGGAGGAACACCGAUGGCGAAGGCAAUCCCCUGGACCUGUACUGACGCUCAUGCACGAAAGCGUGGGGAGCAAAC
This 429-nucleotide ribosomal RNA is filed under the name uncultured bacterium. RNAcentral's name for it is "partial 16S ribosomal RNA". It matches the Rfam family "Bacterial small subunit ribosomal RNA", at positions 355 to 773 of the family's 1533-position model. The record is from RNAcentral.